This 244-nucleotide long non-coding RNA is filed under the name Bos taurus (domestic cattle). Its description in RNAcentral is "long non-coding RNA NONBTAT007548". The record is from RNAcentral. Lineage: Eukaryota; Metazoa; Chordata; Mammalia; Artiodactyla; Bovidae.
GAAAUGGGGGUUGAAGUGAACAUGAUUUUGUUGACCAUGUCCGUGAUUUCUAGAUGCAACAUGCAUUGGUAGACUUGUGCGAUGGUCUUUUGUGAUACUUAAUUUUUACAUAUCCCAGUCUCUGUAUGUAUCUGCAUAAACAAAGAUAAAACACUGCUUUCUUUUAUUGAAGGGUUUCCAGGACUGCGUGUCUGUUCCUGAGCUCUGUUUUAAGUAUGUGUAUCCUUUGCUUGUAUUUUGUAUU